This 474-nucleotide ribosomal RNA is filed under the name uncultured Bradyrhizobium sp. RNAcentral's name for it is "bacterial SSU rRNA". It matches the Rfam family "Bacterial small subunit ribosomal RNA", at positions 8 to 526 of the family's 1533-position model. The record is from RNAcentral. Lineage: Bacteria; Pseudomonadati; Pseudomonadota; Alphaproteobacteria; Hyphomicrobiales; Nitrobacteraceae.
AGAGUUUGAUCCUGGCUCAGAGCGAACGCUGGCGGCAGGCUUAACACAUGCAAGUCGAGCGGGCGUAGCAAUACGUCAGCGGCAGACGGGUGAGUAACGCGUGGGAACGUACCCUUCAGUUCGGAACAACCCAGGGAAACUUGGGCUAAUACCGAAUACGUCCGUAAGGAGAAAGAUUUAUCGCUGAAGGAUCGGCCCGCGUCUGAUUAGCUAGUUGGUGAGGUAACGGCUCACCAAGGCGACGAUCAGUAGCUGGUCUGAGAGGAUGAUCAGCCUCACUGGGACUGAGACACGGCCCAGACUCCUACGGGAGGCAGCAGUGGGGAAUAUUGGACAAUGGGCGCAAGCCUGAUCCAGCCAUGCCGCGUGGAUGAUGAAGGCCCUAGGGUUGUAAAGUCCUUUCGGCGGGGAAGAUAAUGACGGUACCCGCAGAAGAAGCCCCGGCUAACUUCGUGCCAGCAGCCGCGGUAAUAC